AGCAGCCGCGGUAAUUCCAGCUCCAAUAGCGUAUAUUAAAGUUGUUGCAGUUAAAAAGCUCGUAGUUGAAUUUCGGGAUUUAUCCGUCGGUCGGGCUUUUGGGUCUGUACUGGCGUGAUGAAUUCCUACCUUCUGAAUAACCGGCAUGUCAUUAAUUUGGUGCGCUGGGGAAGCAGGACUGUUACCUUGAAAAAAUUGAGUGCUUAAAGCAGGCUAUUGCCUGAAUACAUUAGCAUGGAAUAAUGAAAUAGGACGGCAUGGUUCUAUUUUGUUGGUUUCUAGGAUCACCGUAAUGAUUAAUAGGGAUAGUUGGGGGCAUUAGUAUUCAAUUGUCAGAGGUGAAAUUCUUGGAUUUAUUGAAGACUAACUUCUGCGAAAGCAUUUGCCAAGGAUGUUUUCAUUAAUCAAGAACGAAAGUUAGGGGAUCGAAGACGAUCAGAUACCGUGUAGUCUAACAUAAACUAUG
RNAcentral lists this ribosomal RNA (466 nucleotides) under uncultured Acaulospora. RNAcentral describes it as "SSU rRNA". It matches the Rfam family "Eukaryotic small subunit ribosomal RNA", at positions 569 to 1041 of the family's 1831-position model. Lineage: Eukaryota; Fungi; Glomeromycota; Glomeromycetes; Diversisporales; Acaulosporaceae. The record is from RNAcentral.